Long non-coding RNA from Oreochromis aureus, 313 nucleotides. RefSeq lists it as uncharacterized. NCBI's taxonomy places the organism in Eukaryota, Metazoa, Chordata, Actinopteri, Cichliformes, Cichlidae. The transcript has 3 exons. The record is from RefSeq and is a predicted model, not a curated record.
CACCACCCUCUGCUGAUCCACCUGCCAAAGCUUCUCUUUCACUCCAAGCUGCAUCUCUAGCUCGACAUCAUGGCUUCGUUGCUGCUUCGUCAACCACAGCUCAAACUCUUCGUAGGCCUUCAGAAGCUGCUCAGCAGCCACCAGCACCAUGUCCAUCUUCACACGGCCUUCUUCCUCUGACUGGCAGAUCUUCUGUUGUCGAGAAAGGAAACUCUGGCUGGCACAGCCCGGCGGUCAAUCCAGAAUGACACCCAUGAAAGCAUCACCAUGAGUGUGGCUGGAAAGUACGUCUGCAGCAGGAAGAAGAAGAUGU